AGUGAACGCUGGCGGUAGGCCUAACACAUGCAAGUCGAACGGCAGCACAGUAAGAGCUUGCUCUUACGGGUGGCGAGUGGCGGACGGGUGAGGAAUACAUCGGAAUCUACUUUUUCGUGGGGGAUAACGUAGGGAAACUUACGCUAAUACCGCAUACGACCUACGGGUGAAAGCAGGGGAUCUUCGGACCUUGCGCGAUUGAAUUAGCCGAUGUCGGAUUAGCUAGUUGGCGUGGUAACGGCCCACCAAGGCAACGAUCCGUAGCUGAUCUGAGAGGAUGAUCGGCCACACGGGAACUGAGACACGGUCCAGACUCCUACGGGAGGCAGCAGUAGGGAAUCUUCCGCAAUGGGCGAAAGCCUGACGGAGCAACGCCGCGUGAGUGAUGAAGGUCUUCGGAUCGUAAAACUCUGUUAUUAGGGAAGAACAAAAGUGGAAGUAACCAUGCACGUCUUGACGGUACCAAAUCAGAAAGCCACGGCUAACUACGUG
This 492-nucleotide ribosomal RNA is filed under the name uncultured bacterium. RNAcentral's name for it is "partial 16S ribosomal RNA". It matches the Rfam family "Bacterial small subunit ribosomal RNA", at positions 29 to 507 of the family's 1533-position model. The record is from RNAcentral.